RNAcentral lists this ribosomal RNA (491 nucleotides) under uncultured bacterium. RNAcentral's name for it is "partial 16S ribosomal RNA". It matches the Rfam family "Bacterial small subunit ribosomal RNA", at positions 28 to 507 of the family's 1533-position model. The record is from RNAcentral.
GAUGAACGCUGGCUACAGGCUUAACACAUGCAAGUCGAGGGGAAACGCCGGGGAAGCUUGCUUCUCCGGGCGUCGACCGGCGCACGGGUGAGUAACGCGUAUCCAACCUGCCUCUGACUGAGGGAUAACCCGUCGAAAGUCGGCCUAAUACCUCAUGGUAUCGUCUGCGGGCAUCCAACGACGAUUAAAGAUUUCAUCGGUCAGGGAUGGGGAUGCGUCUGAUUAGCUUGUUGGCGGGGUAACGGCCCACCAAGGCUACGAUCAGUAGGGGUUCUGAGAGGAAGGUCCCCCACAUUGGAACUGAGACACGGACCAAACUCGUACGGGAGGCAGCAGUGAGGAAUAUUGGGCAAUGGGCGAGAGCCUGAACCAGCCAAGUAGCGUGCAGGAAGACGGCCCUAUGGGUUGUAAACUGCUUUUAUGCGGGGAUAAAGUGAGGGACGUGUCCCUCAUUGCAGGUACCGCAUGAAUAAGGACCGGCUAAUUCCGUG